GUCUACAGCCAUACCACCCUGAAUGCACCAGAUCUCGGAAGCUAAGCAGGGUCAGGCCUGGUUAGUACUUGGAUGGGAGAAUUAUAAUAUACAUCAUGGUGCUAGAAA
This 108-nucleotide ribosomal RNA is filed under the name Microcebus murinus (gray mouse lemur). Lineage: Eukaryota; Metazoa; Chordata; Mammalia; Primates; Cheirogaleidae. The record is from RNAcentral.